This 76-nucleotide transfer RNA is filed under the name Oscillospiraceae bacterium. RNAcentral describes it as "tRNA-Lys". It matches the Rfam family "tRNA". From Rfam's summary of the family: Transfer RNA (tRNA) molecules are approximately 80 nucleotides in length. Lineage: Bacteria; Bacillati; Bacillota; Clostridia; Eubacteriales; Oscillospiraceae. The record is from RNAcentral.
ACGUUCUUAGCUCAGCCGGUAGAGCAACGGUCUUUUAAACCGUAGGUCGCGGGUUCGAACCCCGCAGAGCGUACCA